RNAcentral lists this ribosomal RNA (369 nucleotides) under uncultured organism. Its description in RNAcentral is "bacterial SSU rRNA". It matches the Rfam family "Bacterial small subunit ribosomal RNA", at positions 526 to 896 of the family's 1533-position model. The record is from RNAcentral.
CGGAGGGUGCAAGCGUUAUCCGGAUUCACUGGGUUUAAAGGGAGCGCAGGCGGAUUUGUAAGUCAGUGGUGAAAGGCUUAAGCUUAACUUGGGAACUGCCAUUGAUACUAUAAGUCUUGAAUGUUGUUGAGGUUUGCGGAAUGGGUCAUGUAGCGGUGAAAUGCAUAGAUAUGACCCGGAACACCUAUUGCGAAGGCAGCAGGCUAAACAAAUAUUGACGCUGAGGCUCGAAAGCGUGGGGGAUCAAACAGGAUUAGAUACCCUGGUAGUCCACGCCCUAAACUAUGAUUACUCGACAUAUGCGAUACACUGUAUGUGUCUGAGCGAAAGCAUUAAGUAAUCCACCUGGGAAGUACGACCGCAAGGUUG